This 465-nucleotide ribosomal RNA is filed under the name Vreelandella stevensii. RNAcentral's name for it is "partial 16S ribosomal RNA". It matches the Rfam family "Bacterial small subunit ribosomal RNA", at positions 338 to 795 of the family's 1533-position model. Lineage: Bacteria; Pseudomonadati; Pseudomonadota; Gammaproteobacteria; Oceanospirillales; Halomonadaceae. The record is from RNAcentral.
CCUACGGGCGGCUGCAGUGGGGAAUAUUGGACAAUGGGCGAAAGCCUGAUCCAGCCAUGCCGCGUGUGUGAAGAAGGCCUUCGGGUUGUAAAGCACUUUCAGUGGGGAAGAAAGCCUUGGGGCUAAUACCCUCGAGGAAGGACAUCACCCACAGAAGAAGCACCGGCUAACUCCGUGCCAGCAGCCGCGGUAAUACGGAGGGUGCGAGCGUUAAUCGGAAUUACUGGGCGUAAAGCGCGCGUAGGCGGUCUGAUAAGCCGGUUGUGAAAGCCCCGGGCUCAACCUGGGAACGGCAUCCGGAACUGUCAGGCUAGAGUGCAGGAGAGGAAGGUAGAAUUCCCGGUGUAGCGGUGAAAGGCGUAGAGAUCGGGAGGAAUACCAGUGGCGAAGGCGGCCUUCUGGACUGACACUGACGCUGAGGUGCGAAAGCGUGGGUAGCAAACAGGAUUAGAUACCCCUGUAGUC